Molecule: ribosomal RNA, 468 nt
Filed under: uncultured bacterium
Lineage: Bacteria
Description: partial 16S ribosomal RNA
Rfam family: Bacterial small subunit ribosomal RNA
Source: RNAcentral
GACGAACGCUGGCGGCGUGCUUAACACAUGCAAGUCGAACGGAAAGGCCCUGCUUUUGUGGGGUGCUCGAGUGGCGAACGGGUGAGUAACACGUGAGUAACCUGCCCUUGACUUUGGGAUAACUUCAGGAAACUGGGGCUAAUACCGGAUAGGAGCUCCUGCUGCAUGGUGGGGGUUGGAAAGUUUCGGCGGUUGGGGGUGGACUCGCGGCUUAUCAGCUUGUUGGUGGGGUAGUGGCUUACCAAGGCUUUGACGGGUAGCCGGCCUGAGAGGGUGACCGGCCACAUUGGGACUGAGAUACGGCCCAGACUCCUACGGGAGGCAGCAGUGGGGAAUAUUGCACAAUGGGCGGAAGCCUGAUGCAGCAACGCCGCGUGCGGGAUGACGGCCUUCGGGUUGUAAACCGCUUUCGCUUGUGACGAAGCGUGAGUGACGGUAAUGGGUAAAGAAGCACCGGCUAACUACGUG